GACAAUAAUGCCCCUUCAACAGAAAAGUCGUACGCUUUAGACAAAUGUGUGUCUAGGGUUUUCUUUCAGAUCUUUCAUCAUUCUGCUCUCACUAUAUCGAUCUUGCUUACUCUCGCCAUCUUGCAACCAUUACUGAUGUCAAUAUCUCUCAACGGCUUCCUGUUUAGGUUGUUUGUGUCCUGAAGUGUCUUGCUCUCUAAUCUCAAGGGGUUUUCUUCCAGCUCUUUGCUUAAUUACAACAAUCCGAGUUACAGAAUACAAGAUUCAGUUUGGAGGUUGGCUUUACAAGGACUCAAGUUGGUUCUACUAUUUCUGAUUCUGACUUCAUCCGGAUUUAGUACUUCAACAAUGGAUUUUGUUGUUGGGAUCGUUUGAAGAUUGUCUAAAGUUCGUUACUUUACUUUUAAGGUAGGUGUUAAGGAAGUUAUGUUUUAUGCCUUAUUGAAGUGUGGUUUACUAACAUUUUUCUUAACUUUUCGUCUGGAUAUGCAUACAUGUUAGAGGCUAAUACUAUUAUCGUGUUUAUUAUUAUGAUAAUUUUAGUCGUAUUCUAAAAUGUCAUGCGUACCAGGGUCUCUUCUUAGGCUGAUACUUUUAAUUCUGGUCAUCCGUCUGGUUAUGCAUAUAUGUUAGAGGUUAAUACUAUUGUCGUGUUGGUUA
Helianthus annuus (common sunflower) is the source of this 660-nucleotide long non-coding RNA. RefSeq lists it as uncharacterized. The record is from RefSeq and is a predicted model, not a curated record. The transcript has 4 exons. NCBI's taxonomy places the organism in Eukaryota, Viridiplantae, Streptophyta, Magnoliopsida, Asterales, Asteraceae.